RNAcentral lists this ribosomal RNA (253 nucleotides) under uncultured bacterium. Its description in RNAcentral is "partial 16S ribosomal RNA". It matches the Rfam family "Bacterial small subunit ribosomal RNA", at positions 524 to 776 of the family's 1533-position model. The record is from RNAcentral.
UACGUAGGUGGCAAGCGUUGUCCGGAAUUACUGGGCGUAAAGGGCGUGUAGGCGGCUAUUUAAGUCAGGCGUGAAAUGCAUGGGCUUAACCCAUGAAUUGCGUUUGAAACUGGAGGGCUUGAGGAUCGGAGAGGGCAGUGGAAUUCCCAGUGUAGCGGUGAAAUGCGUAGAUAUUGGGAGGAACACCAGUGGCGAAGGCGACUGCCUGGACGACACCUGACGCUGAGGCGCGAAAGCUAGGGGAGCAAACGGG